AACGAACGCUGGCGGCAUGCCUAACACAUGCAAGUCGAACGAGACCUUCGGGUCUAGUGGCGCACGGGUGCGUAACGCGUGGGAACCUGCCCUUAGGUUCGGAAUAACUCCCCGACAGGGGUGCUAAUACCGGAUAAUGUCUUCGGACCAAAGAUUUAUCGCCUUUGGAUGGGCCCGCGUUGGAUUAGCUCGUUGGUAGGGUAAAAGCCUACCAAGGCGACGAUCCAUAGCUGGUCUGAGAGGAUGAUCAGCCACACUGGGACUGAGACACGGCCCAGAAUCCUACGGGAGGCAGCAGUGGGGAAUAGUGGACAAUGGGCGAAAGCCUGAUACAGCAAGGCCGCGUGAGUGAUGAAGGCCUUAGGGUUGUAAAGCUCGUUUACCCGGGAUGAUAAUGACAGUACCGGGAGAAUAAGCGCCGGCUAACUCCGUG
Molecule: ribosomal RNA, 433 nt
Filed under: uncultured bacterium
Lineage: Bacteria
Description: partial 16S ribosomal RNA
Rfam family: Bacterial small subunit ribosomal RNA
Source: RNAcentral